RNAcentral lists this small nuclear RNA (106 nucleotides) under Salvator merianae (Argentine black and white tegu). Lineage: Eukaryota; Metazoa; Chordata; Lepidosauria; Squamata; Teiidae. The record is from RNAcentral.
GUGCUCACUUUGGCAGCACAUAUACUAAAAUUGGAAUGAGCAGAGAAGAUUAGAAUGGCCCCUGCACAAGGAUGACAUGCAAAUCUGUGAAGUGUUCCAUAAUUUU